ACCCGCUGAAUUUAAGCAUAUAAGUAAGUGGUGGAAAUUAAACCAAAUGGGAUAUCUUUAGUAAUUGCGAAUGAACAAGGAUAUGCUUAGCUUGACAAAUGGAGCUAUUGGCUUUGAAUUGUAUUGUGGAAAUGUAUUACCAACAGAGGUGCAGGUGCCAGCCUAUUGAAAUAAAGCGUCAAUGAGGGUGAGAAUCCUGUUUGUCAUGUGCAGCCCUUUGUGCACGGUGUAUAUUUGCUGAGUCACACUCCUUGGCAUUGGAAUGCAAAGUGGGUGGUAAGUUUCAUGUAAAGGUAAACAUGCAAUUGAGACUGAUAGCACACAAGUACCAUGAGGGAAAUAUGAAAAGGACUUUGAAAAGAGAAUUAAAUGAGUUUGUAUUUGCUGAACACAAAGUAAACAGACUUGAUUUGCUUGGUGGGAGUGUUGCACUUGCUUGACAAGAGCUUUGGGCUGUGGGUGUAAUGAUUCUUUCUUUGCAUGCCAGUUUCUAUUUGUACAUCUGAUUACCUUUGCACAUGAAUGAUAAGUCUCCUGUGGGGGGUGGAUUGCAUGUGCAUGUAAUGAUUUGUGUUUUGAUAAAUGUGUCUGGUGUAUGUGUGUGUUCCUGUGCUUGGGGAUGCUUCCUUCCUUGGACUUACAAGCCCUGACACACACAUGCUGGCAAAAUGCUUCUGCUUGACCCGUCUUGAAACACGGACCAAGGAGUCUAACAGAUGUGCAAAGUUUGAAGGUGGUAUACCUUUGUGUGCAAUGAAAGUGUCAGCUGGGAUAUGUGCACCAGCACCCAAUUAAUUAGCGGACAGAGGUUUGAGUUGGAGCAUAUCUAUUAGGACCCGAAAGAUGGUGAACUAUGCCUGAACAGAAUGAAUUCAGAGGAAACUCUGAUGGAGGUUCGUAUCGAUACUGACGUGCAAAUCGUUCGUCAUAUUUGGGUAUAGGGGCGAAAGACUAAUCGAACCAUCUAGUAGCUGGUUCCCUCCGA
This 985-nucleotide ribosomal RNA is filed under the name Alexandrium tamarense. Its description in RNAcentral is "LSU rRNA". It matches the Rfam family "Eukaryotic large subunit ribosomal RNA", at positions 23 to 964 of the family's 3401-position model. The record is from RNAcentral. Lineage: Eukaryota; Dinophyceae; Gonyaulacales; Pyrocystaceae.